CCCGCAGCCCGGCCCCGCCGAGAGGAGCCGCGUCCCCGCGCCCCCGCCCUCGCCCUCGGCCCCUCCUCCCGGCAGCGGCAGGAUGUUGUUGCUCGAACCUCAGCGCUCGGAGCUCGGAACCCACGUACCAAAAAAGCCGCCGAUCAUUUCCUGUCAAUAGAUCUGCCCCAGCUCUUCAGAGAGACAGCGAGCUGCCAGAGCCGGCGAAAGAGAAACCACAGAGAGAGACGCCACACAUCAGAGCCGCCCAGCGCCAAGACCACCAGAGCCGGGGACGCGGCAGGGCAGGGCAGGGCGGAGCUGUGCCUGGAUCGCAGGGACCUGCUCCAAGAGUGGUGCAGGGGGGCAGAUGAGGGGGCGCUCAGCACCCGCGUGUCCGUGCCUGCCGUGUGGCCGCUUUCCUCACCUUCUUGAGUAACGUUGUGCGGGCGGCUGUGUAAGGCACUUCUUCACAUAUUUGCAACCCAUCUCCACGUGUGAAAGAAAGACAGAAAGAAGAAAAAGGAAGGAAGGAGAAAAAGAAAGAAAUGAAGUGGACAAGAAGGAAGAAAGAAAAAAGAAGGAAGGAAAAGAAAGAAAGAAAAAUUUAGCUCUGUCAAGAGUUCUCAUCUUGACAGCCCUGGUAGAUGAAGGAUACUCUUCAUCCACAGUUUCCCAGCUCAUUGCUUGUCAAAAUGAGAUCUCUCUGGGGUCUACAUAAGGGACAUUUGGGGGGCCAAUACAUCUCCAUGGUCAGCUCUUGCCCUCGCCACUGAGACUGCCAAUUAUUAUUCCUGUUGGUAGUACAGAAAUAAUUAUAUCAAUUAUAUAAAUGUUACUUAUUUCUGUAUUUAUUGUGUUACCUUAGUUCUUAGGAGACCUUCCUGUGAAACUAGACUCUGCUGUAAUAACUAAUGCCCAACAGACAAUAAAAGGUUGGUCCCUAUUCCAAAGCACUUACAUUUAAAGUACAAGCUGACAGUCUAAUGCUAAGCAUAAUGCAUGGGAGUGUGUGAGAGAGAAGGAGGGAGAUGAGGGCAAAAAUUUCAUAGAGGAAGUCAGCCAUGAGGACAUGGAUUGUUUCUUGGAGGAUGUUCCAAACACACAUGAACUUUUAGGCACAAGGAUGGUACUGGGCAGUGUGGGCUAAAGGAUAUAUCCGUCAAGCGUAGCAGAGCAGAGGGCAUAAAGGUGCUAAGUUAUUUAGACUUAGAACUAUUUUACAAGUGGAAAUUAACUUGCAUAGCUAUAGCAGAAUAGUUAUGGCGAUUAUAGGCCUGUGAGCCUAAGAAGAGAGAGAGAUCACUAUAGUGGUAUAUCAAUAGCUGCAGUCAUGCCAUAAUAACUCUCAUUAAGAACACUGCCUUCCAAAAUCAGAGUGACUUGACUUCGGAAUAACUACUCUGCUUCAGAAACAAGACAAUUAUUCCACGAUAAACUCCCUUUCAUUCUGGAAUGGAGUGAUCAUUAAGAGGCAAACUCCUUCAUGGAAUUGACACAUAAAUAGAGGGGCAACACUCAGGCCAUAAACCUGGAGCAAAGUGCAUUGUGAUGAUAACUGUACACAGACAAGCAGGCAGCCCAAAGUCUUAAAAACAAGUAGGCUAUGCAUGGAAAGGUAAGCAUUUGAAAUUGGGAGCAAACUGGCCCUGACUCACCCAGAGGUACAUUUUCCACUGUCAGAGUAGGGCUAGGCUUGUAUCAUGUGCUUAUAGCCUGAGGUCCGGGACACAUCAGCAGGGAAACUUUAGCUUUACUGAGAAAAGGGAAGUUUGAACACAUGGUACAGUCCCUUGAAGUGAGAUAAAUCUGCUGUAGCUAACCACUUCUUCCUCAGUUGCAAUGAGGCCCAUCCCUUGAGGACUUCAGGCCAGGGCAAGGUCAUUUCUUCUUGUAAUAGCCAUUUACUUGUACAUUUACUAGAUGCCCAAAGGCAGCUGCAUCCAGACUUUUGCUUCAAGGUUCCAUGUCUUGGGGCAACCUCUCAUUGUGUUCUUAUGGCCUAAAUAUACAAGUGCAAGCUAAAUAGAUGCAGCCAGUUUGAACAAGGAAAAGGAUGUCCUGUUCAGUUUAUUAAACUGCACCUGACAAGGGGAUGUCCCUUGUUUAUGCAGAUAAUCUCCCAUUCUCCUUUUCUGGAAAAAAAUUAGCAGCAGAAAAAUUAUUUCUUAGUGCAUGGCCUAUAGGAGCUCUUAGUUCCCUAGUAUGAUAAGGCAGCAAGAUAAGUAGGCUGGUAAAAUGAAAAGUGGUUACAAAAAUGUAGGAGUCUCAGUUUAACAUGUGAAGGAAAAUGAAACUAAUUAAAAAGCCACUUAAAAUAUUCCCCUCUGUAAAAGAGAGAAAUGUUACACCACAAACAAAUUUGUUACAUUCCUGUGUGUGAUGAUCAUGCACUAUAUUCGUUGUCUUUAUUGUUUGGAAUGACUCAGAAGCACCAAGGCAAACGUAGCCUACUGUAUCUUUUGAUUCAAGCGGUUAAAGUAAAAGGAAGACAUUUAAGAUA
Molecule: long non-coding RNA, 2482 nt
Organism: Alligator mississippiensis (American alligator)
Lineage: Eukaryota; Metazoa; Chordata; Crocodylia; Alligatoridae
Exons: 2
Source: RefSeq, a predicted model, not a curated record